This 253-nucleotide ribosomal RNA is filed under the name uncultured bacterium. RNAcentral describes it as "partial 16S ribosomal RNA". It matches the Rfam family "Bacterial small subunit ribosomal RNA", at positions 524 to 776 of the family's 1533-position model. The record is from RNAcentral.
UACAUGGGGUGCAAACGUUGCUCGGAAUUAUUGGGCGUAAAGCGCGCGUAGGCGGUUACUCAAGUCGGAUGUGAAAGCCCUCGGCUUAACUGAGGAAGUGCACCCGAAACUGAGUAGCUAGAGUACUAAAGAGGGUCGCGGGAUUCCCGGUGUAGAGGUGAAAUUCGUAGAUAUCGGGAGGAACACCGGUGGCGAAGGCGGCGACCUGGGUAGAUACUGACGCUGAGGCGCGAAAGCGUGGGGAGCAAACAGG